Molecule: ribosomal RNA, 445 nt
Filed under: uncultured prokaryote
Description: bacterial SSU rRNA
Rfam family: Bacterial small subunit ribosomal RNA
Source: RNAcentral
UGGGGAAUAUUGGACAAUGGGCGCAAGCCUGAUCCAGCCAUCCCGCGUGCAGGAAGACGGCCCUCCGGGUUGUAAACUGCUUUUGGGCCAGAUGAAUAGCCGCUACGAGUAGUGGUAUGACGUUAUGGUCAGAAUAAGCACCGGCUAACUCCGUGCCAGCAGCCGCGGUAAUACGGAGGGUGCCAGCGUUAUCCGGAAUCACUGGGUUUAAAGGGUGCGUAGGCGGACUUGCGCGUCAGGGGUGAAAGGCUGCGGCUUAACCGUGGGAUGGCCUCUGAUACGGCGGGUCUUGAAUGAGGUGGAGGUGAGCGGAAUGCGGCAUGUAGCGGUGAAAUGCAUAGAUAUGCCGUAGAACACCGAUUGCGUAGGCAGCUCACUAGGCCUUCAAUUGACGCUGAGGCACGAAAGCGUGGGGAGCGAACAGGAUUAGAUACCCCCGUAGUCC